GGAGAUAGGACAUUGAGGGGGUGAGAGAGACACCAGCAGAUACUCUGGGUACAAGAGAAGACACUUGUGACUUUGGCUUUAGGUAACUGCGGUGAGAUCCUCUCCGACAUGAGUGCCUGGCCUUUUAAGGGAGCAUCGGUUCAAGCCGCUCUUACCAUCUCCGCACGAGAGGGAAAGCUGGGUUCCCAGAGGCCAGACGUGAUAUGUCAUUCCAUUCACUCUGAUGAAUAAACCUUGUAUGAAGAAUAAUUUUGUUGAACUACCUUCUAUUUUCACCUUUAGGAAACAUACUUCUUUAUAUGCCCAUAUUGAAUCACGUGGCUAUGGAAUGUUAAGAAGUAUGUAACCUGAAGGUGGGAUCCCAGCUGGACAUGAAGUAUGUAACCUGAAGGUGGGAUCCCAGCUGGACAUGAAAGUAUCUUCUUGCCACAUGAGCUGGUAGAAAGCAGACACGUGAAACCCACACCAAAUGUUGACGUGUCCCAAAGUUUCAAGAAACAAUACAAUGGAUGUCAGUAUAUAACAGAAAAUGCCAGCUUUGCCUGGUUGCAGCUGGUGAAAAGGAACCACAUCGACCCUACACAGGAUUUGGUCCCCUUCAACCAGCCGCAACUGAGCAGAUAACAUUCUGAGAGGAAGACCACUGCCAGGACAAGAUGGACGCUAUAUGGACUAGCAAUUAUUCACAUUCAUGUGUAUUUGUUCUGAACAAAUAAAGUAAUUGAAAAUUAAA
Long non-coding RNA from Bufo gargarizans (Asiatic toad), 733 nucleotides. RefSeq lists it as uncharacterized. NCBI's taxonomy places the organism in Eukaryota, Metazoa, Chordata, Amphibia, Anura, Bufonidae. The transcript is spliced from 4 exons. The record is from RefSeq and is a predicted model, not a curated record.